This 956-nucleotide long non-coding RNA is filed under the name Ananas comosus (pineapple). RNAcentral describes it as "long non-coding RNA (ACOM_LNC044645)". The record is from RNAcentral. Lineage: Eukaryota; Viridiplantae; Streptophyta; Magnoliopsida; Poales; Bromeliaceae.
UUAAAAUUAUCUAAUCGGGUAGAGAAAUGGAUAGAAUUGUAAUAGAUAUAGUUAAAUUUUGUUUAUUGACUAAAGUUGAAUAAAGUGGAAAACUUUAAUGGCUAGUUUAGGGGUUAAAUAUUCCCCUGUAAUGUUUCAUGGAGUAAAUAUAUAUUACUUUAGCAAAGAGUGUUCCUUUAAUGACGUUUGGUUGUGUAUGAAUGAAAAUGAAGAGAGAAAAAUAACAAAUAAAGAGAGAGAAAGUAAGAAAGGAGAAAGUAAGGAAAGAAGGAUAAGAGAGAAAGGGAGGGGAAAGAGAUAGUGAAGGAAAUUGAAAUAAUACAAAGGAGAGGGAUAAGAGAGGAAGUAAAGUGAGAUGAGGAGAGAGAAAAUAAAGAGAAAUAAAACAAAAAGAGAGUGAGAAGAGAGAAAGCAAGGAGACAGAAAAUGAUGCGAAAAGAAAAAUAAAGGAAGAUAAACCAAGAAAAAAGAGAUCCGAGAGAAAGUAAGGUGAUAAAAAAGUAAAAAGAAAGUGAAGACAGAGAAAAUGAGGAAAGAAAAAAAUACAAUGAGAGAAAAUGAUGAAAGAAAGAGAAGUGAGAGAAAGUGAGGAGAGAGAAAGUGAAGGGAAAUGAAUUUUUCUCUUUCACCUUCUUUAACUUUUUUGGAAAAACUUCAAAAACCCCCCCUGUGGUUUCGUGCUUUCUCACUUUAGUACUCUGUGGUUUAAAACGUAUCAAUUUGCCCCCCUGUGGUUUCGUUUUUCUCUUUUUGUUAUCAAUUUUAUUAUUAUUAUUUUUUUCUUAAAUCAGUGACAAAGUUAAAAUUAAAAGAUACUAAAGUGAAUAUUCGAUAAAUAUAGAUGGUUAUCUGAAGUUUUUUGUAUAUAAUUUAACGAAAUGUUAACGAAAAAGCUUCCGAAAAGAUAACAAUGAAACCACAGGGAGGCAAAUUGAUACGUUUUAAACCACAGGGUA